GACGAACCGAGCGAACGUUGUUCGGAAUCACUGGGCUUAAAGGGCGCGUAGGCGGGCAUCAUAGUCUGUGGUGAAAUCCGGCAGCUUAACUGUCGAAUUGCCAUGGAUACUGGGUGUCUCGAGGGAGGCAGGGGUGCGCGGAACUAAUGGUGGAGCGGUGAAAUGCGUUGAUAUCAUUAGGAACUCCGGUGGCGAAGGCGGCGCACUGGUCCUUUUCUGACGCUGAGGCGCGAAAGCCCAGGGGGAGCAAACGGG
RNAcentral lists this ribosomal RNA (255 nucleotides) under uncultured bacterium. RNAcentral describes it as "partial 16S ribosomal RNA". It matches the Rfam family "Bacterial small subunit ribosomal RNA", at positions 524 to 776 of the family's 1533-position model. The record is from RNAcentral.